This 1052-nucleotide ribosomal RNA is filed under the name Halogeometricum rufum. Its description in RNAcentral is "bacterial SSU rRNA". It matches the Rfam family "Archaeal small subunit ribosomal RNA", at positions 349 to 1406 of the family's 1478-position model. The record is from RNAcentral. Lineage: Archaea; Methanobacteriati; Methanobacteriota; Halobacteria; Halobacteriales; Haloferacaceae.
UUUACACUGCUCGCAAGUGCGAUAAGGGAAUCCGAGUGCGAGGGCAUAUAGUCCUCGCUUUUGAGACCGUAAGGUGGUUCUCGAAUAAGAGCUGGGCAAGACCGGUGCCAGCCGCCGCGGUAAUACCGGCAGCUCAAGUGAUGGCCAAUCUUAUUGGGCCUAAAGCGUCCGUAGCUGGCCGUGAAAGUUCGUCGGGAAAUCCAUCCGCUCAACGGAUGGGCGUCCGGCGAAAACUUCACGGCUUGGGACCGGAAGGCUCGAGGGGUACGUCCGGNGUAGGAGUGAAAUCCUGUAAUCCUGGACGGACCGCCGAUGGCGAAAGCACCUCGAGAAGACGGAUCCGACAGUGAGGGACGAAAGCUAGGGUCUCGAACCGGAUUAGAUACCCGGGUAGUCCUAGCCGUAAACGAUGUUCACUAGGUGUGGCACAGGCUACGAGCCUGUGCUGUGCCGUAGGGAAGCCGAGAAGUGAACCGCCUGGGAAGUACGUCCGCAAGGAUGAAACUUAAAGGAAUUGGCGGGGGAGCACUACAACCGGAGGAGCCUGCGGUUUAAUUGGACUCAACGCCGGACAUCUCACCAGCUCCGACUACAGUAAUGACGGUCAGGUUGAUGACCUUACCACGAGCUGUAGAGAGGAGGUGCAUGGCCGCCGUCAGCUCGUACCGUGAGGCGUCCUGUUAAGUCAGGCAACGAGCGAGACCCACGCACCUAAUUGCCAGCAGCAGUUCCGACUGGCUGGGUACAUUAGGUGGACUGCCAGUGCCAAACUGGAGGAAGGAAUGGGCAACGGUAGGUCAGUAUGCCCCGAAUGAGCUGGGCUACACGCGGGCUACAAUGGCCGAAACAAUGGGUUGCUAUCUCGAAAGAGAACGCUAAUCUCCGAAAUUCGGUCGUAGUUCGGAUUGAGGGCUGAAACUCGCCCUCAUGAAGCUGGAUUCGGUAGUAAUCGCAUUUCACAAGAGUGCGGUGAAUACGUCCCUGCUCCUUGCACACACCGCCCGUCAAAGCACCCGAGUGAGGUCCGGAUGAGGCUAUCGCAAGAUAGUCGA